AGAAAAGAGGGGCAGCCAUCUCCAUAUUUGCCGCACAUGCGUAGGUCAGCCACAGGAAACGGAUAGUGCCAGAGGAGAGAGGAUCGUGAGACCUGGGCCAACAGCGGAUCUCUCCAACAAGCCAUGGAGGACUGGGAAGGAGCUGAGAUACAGGACACCACGGAGGAGGUUCAUGUGCUGCACAGCUGGAACAACAGCCCCAACUGUCUACCCCUUGGCCCCUGCCUGUGGUAGCACCCCUGACUCCACCACGGUGACCCUGGGAUGUCUGGUCAAGGGCUAUUUCCCUGAGCCAGUGACCGUGAGCUGGAACUCUGGAGCCCUGACCAGCGGCGUGCACACCUUCCCGUCGGUCCUGCCUUCUGGGCUCUACUCCCUCAGCAGCUCAGUGACUGUACCUUCCAGCACCUGGCCCGGCCAGACCAUCACCUGCAACGUAGCCCACCUGGCCAGCAGCACCAACUUGAACAAGAGAAUCGAGCCCAGAGUCUGCUCAGGUCCCCAGUGCUCAUCUUCUUGCAUCGGUGGACCAUCCGUCUUCAUCUUCCCCCCAAAACCCAAAGACACGCUCACGAUCUCCCUGACCCCCAAGGUCACAUGCGUGGUGGUGGACGUGAGCGAGGAUGAACCAGACGUCCAGUUCAACUGGUUCGUAAACAAUGCAGAAGUGCACACGGCUCAGACGCAGCCCCGGCAGCAGCAGUUCAACAGCACCUACCGCGUGGUCAGCGUCCUCCCCAUCCUGCACCAGGACUGGCUGAGCGGCAAGGAGUUCAAAUGCAAGGUCACCAACAAGGCCCUCCCGAGCCCCGUUGAGAAAACCAUCUCCAAACCCAGAGGGCAACCCCGGGUGCCUCAGGUGUACGCCAUGCCUCCACCUCCAGAACAGAUGUCCAAGAAGAAGGUCAGUCUGACCUGCAUGAUCACGAACUUCUUCCCUGAAGACAUCCACGUGGAAUGGGAAAGGAGCGGGGAGCUGGCGCAGGACUUCAAGAACACCCCUCCCGUUCUGGACUCAGACGGCUCCCACUUCCUCUACAGCAAGCUCACUGUGGACACUAACAGCUGGCUGCGAGGAGACACGUUUACUUGCACUGUGGUGCAUGAAACCCUGCGCAAUCACUACACACAGAAGACUCUCUCCCACUCCCCGGGUAAAUGAGCUCAAACGCCCAGUCAGACACUGGGUUCUACCAAACACUGAACCCAGCCCUAACCCCUCAUGCUAUAAAUAAAGCACCCAGAGCUACCCUGGGACCCUAUGA
This is a non-coding RNA of Mesocricetus auratus (golden hamster), 1265 nucleotides long. The record is from the annotation of a RefSeq genome assembly. Lineage: Eukaryota; Metazoa; Chordata; Mammalia; Rodentia; Cricetidae.